UCGAACGGCAGCACGGAGCUUGCUCUGGUGGCGAGUGGCGAACGGGUGAGUAAUAUAUCGGAACGUACCCUGGAGUGGGGGAUAACGUAGCGAAAGUUACGCUAAUACCGCAUACGAUCUAAGGAUGAAAGUGGGGGAUCGCAAGACCUCAUGCUCGUGGAGCGGCCGAUAUCUGAUUAGCUAGUUGGUAGGGUAAAAGCCUACCAAGGCAUCGAUCAGUAGCUGGUCUGAGAGGACGACCAGCCACACUGGAACUGAGACACGGUCCAGACUCCUACGGGAGGCAGCAGUGGGGAAUUUUGGACAAUGGGCGAAAGCCUGAUCCAGCAAUGCCGCGUGAGUGAAGAAGGCCUUCGGGUUGUAAAGCUCUUUUGUCAGGGAAGAAACGGUGAAAGCUAAUAUCUUUUGCUAAUGACGGUACCUGAAGAAUAAGCACCGGCUAACUACGUGCCAGCAGCCGCGGUAAU
Molecule: ribosomal RNA, 467 nt
Filed under: uncultured bacterium
Lineage: Bacteria
Description: bacterial SSU rRNA
Rfam family: Bacterial small subunit ribosomal RNA
Source: RNAcentral